CUUUUUAGUUUUGCCUUCAUCCCCACAAAUCCAUGUAUUGCCCUCCAAGGAGCUGCUUAUAGGGACUGGCACCUGUCACAUACUACCCUGCUUCCCAGGGUUUCCUUUGAAAUAUUGAUAGAGGGCUCCAUUACCCAAUAACUCUCUUAUUCUGCUUAUCUGAAAAAUUAGCACCAUGUGCACAAGGCUGAGGUCUAUCACCAUAGACCCACCUGAUGGGCCCACAUAAACCACGACUGCAGUGGCCUCUGAGUGUCCUGCUAGCUGAAUACAGGGAAACCAAUCCAUAGGUACGUUAGGCACCAGCGUUCUUUCCACAAAGGAAAGUUUUUCAAAGAAAUUUACACUUCUGCACUUUUGAGCCUGUGAAGCUUGGGGUGGCCUUGCAGAUCUCUGAGAUGCGCUCAAGUCCUCCUUCUUAUAGUUCCAGUCCAAAGCACUUGGCUUCUUAUUACCAGUGCUAAUGAUUGCACUCUCUUUUCUGAAAGUUUAUGCAUGUUCCUUAUCUGGGAAAACUGUGAAUUUAAUUUAACUUAAUUUCACUUCACUUCAGAUAUCAUUUUGUUUUAUUUUCAGUUUUGUUUAGUACUAUGAAUUAAAUCUAGUGGUGUCUACCACCGAGUUAUAUCCCCAGCCCUUUUUAUUUUAUUUUUUUGAGAUAAAGUCUUGCAAAGUUGCUGAGAGUCUUGCUAAGUUGUUGAACUGACCUCGAACUUGCAAUCCUC
RNAcentral lists this long non-coding RNA (725 nucleotides) under Marmota monax (woodchuck). The record is from RNAcentral. Lineage: Eukaryota; Metazoa; Chordata; Mammalia; Rodentia; Sciuridae.